Molecule: ribosomal RNA, 173 nt
Filed under: uncultured bacterium
Lineage: Bacteria
Description: partial 16S ribosomal RNA
Rfam family: Bacterial small subunit ribosomal RNA
Source: RNAcentral
ACUCCUACGGAAGGCAGCAGUGAGGAAUAUUGGGCAAUGGGGGGCAACCCUGAUCUAGCCAUGCCGCGUGAGUGAUGAAGGCCUUAGGGUUGUAAAGCUCUUUCAGCUGGGAAGAUAAUGACGGUACCAGCAGAAGAAGCCCCGGCUAACUCCGUGCCAGCAGCCGCGGUAAU